This 755-nucleotide ribosomal RNA is filed under the name Bacillus sp. LKS-63. Its description in RNAcentral is "bacterial SSU rRNA". It matches the Rfam family "Bacterial small subunit ribosomal RNA", at positions 48 to 783 of the family's 1533-position model. The record is from RNAcentral. Lineage: Bacteria; Bacillati; Bacillota; Bacilli; Caryophanales; Bacillaceae.
CUAAUACAUGCAAGUCGAGCGAAUGGAUUAAGAGCUUGCUCUUAUGAAGUUAGCGGCGGACGGGUGAGUAACACGUGGGUAACCUACCCAUAAGACUGGGAUAACUCCGGGAAACCGGGGCUAAUACCGGAUAAUAUUUUGAACUGCAUAGUUCGAAAUUGAAAGGCGGCUUCGGCUGUCACUUAUGGAUGGACCCGCGUCGCAUUAGCUAGUUGGUGAGGUAACGGCUCACCAAGGCAACGAUGCGUAGCCGACCUGAGAGGGUGAUCGGCCACACUGGGACUGAGACACGGCCCAGACUCCUACGGGAGGCAGCAGUAGGGAAUCUUCCGCAAUGGACGAAAGUCUGACGGAGCAACGCCGCGUGAGUGAUGAAGGCUUUCGGGUCGUAAAACUCUGUUGUUAGGGAAGAACAAGUGCUAGUUGAAUAAGCUGGCACCUUGACGGUACCUAACCAGAAAGCCACGGCUAACUACGUGCCAGCAGCCGCGGUAAUACGUAGGUGGCAAGCGUUAUCCGGAAUUAUUGGGCGUAAAGCGCGCGCAGGUGGUUUCUUAAGUCUGAUGUGAAAGCCCACGGCUCAACCGUGGAGGGUCAUUGGAAACUGGGAGACUUGAGUGCAGAAGAGGAAAGUGGAAUUCCAUGUGUAGCGGUGAAAUGCGUAGAGAUAUGGAGGAACACCAGUGGCGAAGGCGACUUUCUGGUCUGUAACUGACACUGAGGCGCGAAAGCGUGGGGAGCAAACAGGAUUAGAU